CGCACCUCGUCGGCCCCGCGCCCCGCAUCCCCGCGCCCGCUCGCACCUACAGCGCCCCCGCGCCCAGGCCACCGCCGCCGGGUCCCGUUCUGACGUCCGGGCCCCCCCCCGCGUCCGCCCGCCAGAGGGUGCGGCCGGAAUGCCCCCUCCUAUGGCGCCCCCCAGUGGACCCGGCGCCCGGCCAAGGGGAAGGCGCCGCCUGCCGCUGCACGCGGGGCGGGGCUCGCCGAGCCCCGGGUGUAGCGCCGCAGGGGUCCGCACCCGGGUCUCCCCCAGCAGCCUCCAGCCCCGGCGCACAGCACCCUGGACAGUGCCCACCUCCCCGUGGCGCCAGCGGCGGUCCCCGGAGGGGCACAGAGGACGCCAGGCGGGUCACUCGGUGCAAGGGACAUCGGGGCCUUGGGCCGAUUAAGUGACCACAGAUGGCAGUAGAGACUUCGCAGCCGGCGCCCAGCCCUUCGAUGGUCACUGAUAACCGAGAGGGCCCCCCAACCUGCGUCUGCACGCGAACGCCUCCAACCCUGUUUCCUCCUCUGUGAGUUCCGAGUCUGGCAUCCUAGAGCUGUUGGAGAAUCUCUUACUGACGCGGUCCUGUGGGGGGCGUGGAAAUGACAUCUCGGAGACUUCAGACAAUUUUCCCCAACGUCACGCGGCGAGAAAUCGGGACCUGGCCUCAGAACAGCUCUCUGCAAGCCGGCCACGCCACGCCGCCUCCUCCGUUGCCACGGUUUCGGUUUCUUCCAACGACCUCCGGGGGCGGAGGCAAACACAUGAGCUAUGAGCUCGGGACAGCGGGGCCCUCCUGACCGCCUGGGAUGCGGACGUCUCAAACCUGGGUUCUCCGACACGGCAGCCACACGACACACGGGGCACAAAGCUCAAAGCGUGGCUCGUGUGAACGGGGACGUGCCGUGAGCGUACAAUCCGCGUUGGGCCUCGAGGAUCUCGUACGAGAAAACUCACGUCAAGAGUCUCGUCGGGCCACUGGCAGUGUUAAAACGGCACGCGUGGCUCACGUCUGUGGCACAGGUUGUGCUUCCCUCGACGGUGCGGUCCUACGUCUCCAGGGCUCCGAGCUGCUGUGACAGGCGGGCGGCACCGGUGGGCGUGUGCUCCGCGGGUGACCCGCUCUCUGCCAUUCUCAGGGAGAGAAGACCACAUGUGUGCGUGCACACACACGAGGCGGGGAGGGGCAG
This is a long non-coding RNA of Prionailurus viverrinus (fishing cat), 1196 nucleotides long. RefSeq lists it as uncharacterized. The transcript is spliced from 4 exons. The record is from RefSeq and is a predicted model, not a curated record. Lineage: Eukaryota; Metazoa; Chordata; Mammalia; Carnivora; Felidae.